CAAUGAUGGAGAAAAGACCCGCCCCCCUUUUUUUAACCUCCAGCAAAGCUCUCUGGCUAAUCCCUAGAAUUCUACCAGGAAGGAAGGUUCCUGUCGCUGCUGAUGGAGCACAGCAGGGGACAGCCAGGGGACAACCACCCAGCAGAGCCACCCAGGCGCACUUGAAACAGGGCACCGAGCCCGUCCGCAGGGGUGCUGCCGGUGAGCGUCCUGCAUUCAUCGUGAGGCCAGGCUGUGAAGACAAAUUGACCAUCGUGACCUCUGUCUUCUGCCAGGAAGGCGGCACCAGCCUCCGAGCUCCGGGUCUUAUAUCUGACCUCAACACAGAGGCCCAUGCUCCACAGGGUCUCUCCACUUCUGCAACAUAGCUAACAUUUAAGCAGAGAGAAAUCCCCACCUGGAAGAUGUCUUCCCUAUUCGAGAAGGAAGAGACCCAGUGAAGACAAGGACACGGUGCGGACGCUGUUCUGGGCAAAAGGAACCGUAAGGUGAGCGCACAGAGGACAGAAAGAGCUCAAGCGUGCACUAAGAGCCCAGCUGGGUUUGCCACAAGCUGGCUUACGACAAAGGGAGCCGUGUCACCUUCCAGAAAGCCUGGGAAGCUUAGCGAGCUACAGGCGGACAGACAUCAGGCAGGAGCUGAAAUGAAGUCCCCAGGGCUGAUUUCUCUUCUCCUUCCAGUAGGUUCUCUAUUACCAGCAUGCUCGCCUUCAGGGUCGCCAAGAAAUAAGCCUAGCGGGUCUCCAACUCCCAGAGUUCCAGGCCGAUGGAAGCCGCUGGCAACCCUCCCUCCCUUCCUUCCCUCAAGGGCCACUCCCAGAAGACAGGCAGCAGACCACCUCCGGCUGAACCCAUUACUGUGUUCGCCGUCUUGGGUCUGGAUCAUAAGCUGGAUCUCCAAAGCCGUGGAUGGAGCCCCGUCCAGGCCAGAGAGAGCCAGCCCGUGGGAGGGGUGGGUUCCCCGUGUCAUAAUGGGGGGCGGUUGCUGGGGAAAGAAGUCUAGACGCUUCCAGAAAUGAGAGGAGGUCGUUGUAAGUGAAGCGACAUGAGCAAAUGGUCCAGUGAGCCUGGAGAGGUCCGUCGGAGACCCGGGAGGACCACGAUUACGGCCAAGGAGUGAAUAUUCUCUGCUGGAGAUUUAACCAAUCGGGAGCCUUAGGUCGGUAUUUAUAAAGCUCUCCUCUACCAGAGGCGCCAUCUACAUAACGAAAAGGAACACAGGACUCACUCGCCCAUCUUUGGUAACAGCUGGGGUUUUGCAAACGCAUGAGGUGGCCGUCACGUGCAGUGGCACGGCCAGAUCCAAGUCUCCUGGCUCCGCGUCUAAAACGCGCUGUGGAUCAGGGCUGUGAUUUUCAGUGAAAUCUGGACACUCUGACGGGCGUUGUGUUUGGGCGGCUCUCUUGAAGGGAUUCCGCUACGUGCAGAACUAUGACACCUUUGUUUCGGUCCCUUCAGAACCAUGCUGUUGCUUGAGGAGCCCUUUGCAUUCCCUUGGGUGCCCUCUUUUGAACACUGGAGUCCAAAUUCUUCGUGUUUGCGAAUAAGCAGCAUUCUUGGGUGCUGCCCUGAUGGCACAGGCCAGGCCUCGCCUGCUCCGCCCCAGGUGGAGGGCUCGCUGGGCUCACCGUCCAGUCACGCUGGUGCCUCUAAGCCCGUGUGUCUGCAGUUCUUUCAAAAAUAAACUCUGCCUACAGACGGAAUCUGACAGCCUUGCCAUGAGGGCUUUGGGAAGUAGACGUGAUUUGUGAAAUCCCACCUGAGAACCUUGAACAUCAAAGGAGGGAUGGCUGGCCAAGUGUGUGGGGUUUUUGUGAACCAGCUCCGGGUUCAGAGGCAGAGCGACCUGGAGUGACUUUUCCAACACCCCUGAGCCCGGGCGCUGAAAGCAUCUACCCCAUGAGGUUGUGUGAUGAAUAAACGAGGCAAGGCACAUGCGACGUCAGCAGAAUGUCAAGCGACUCAUAGUGGUGAAAAAGCGAUUGCGCCGAUGUAGUUGUACUUUGUUGUCUACUUCUGGCUACUGGCAAAGGCCGUAGCGGUCCCCGCUCACGUUCAGGAUCAUCUGAAUACAUUUCGCGGUGGAAACAAACAGUUAAUACUUGCCCACGUCCAACAGAUUUCCUACCACAUUGGAACUGGGGGAGGGGGGACCCACUAAGGUCCGAAAUUCAAACAGCUUUUUCCCUAGUGUACAAUUUGGUUUCUAUCUAUAUUAGAAAGGGUUUUCUUAGCCACUAUUUGGGGAAACUUCAGGGGAAAACAUAAUGCGGCACGAACAACUACAAAGGGCAGCUGACGCCCUUGGCAUUGAACGGCCGCCUCUGUGGCAGGCUGCCAAGGAACGGCGGCUGCCUUUGUGGAAACUGGCGGGGUGUCUCCGAGUAGCACACACGUUCCUACUGCUUGUCUGUGUCCCGGAAGCGAGGAGACGGUGUCAUCUGCUGUGGAUGCCCAUCCGCGGCCCCGCGGCCAUCCCAGACACAAGGACGGCUCACGGCCGAGGCCCUCCCGGUGCACCUUCGCCGCACCUGAGCACGGGGGUCCUUGACAGGCUCUUGGACCCUUUGCAUCGGAGUUAUAGGGUCCAUUACCUUGCGAUUUUAAUUAGCGCAAAAAAGAACCGAUUUUGUUAACAAGAAAGAAAUCAAUUUCACCGCAACACUGGUCGGGCGUAUUUGAAAAACCAGCACAACGAGGUAACUGGGAAGACGCAUUACCUACCCGGCACCAGGCGCAUGAGGGGCUUAAUAAAUGCUAUCUGAUGCUGGUAUUGUGUGAUGAGAGGAAAAGUUGAUAAGGCAGAGGAACAAUAUGAGGCAGUGUCGUCGUCUGAUUUUCUGAUGGAUAUCUGUUGCCUUUCUGCUGUCCUAGAAAUGUAGCAUUGAGCUGAGGCACUUAGGGUACCAGUGAUCGUAACAGAUCUCCGAGACUGAGCCCGAUACGUGGCGUUCAGUUCUGGAGAGAUCGCAAAUCUGGAUCCCAUUGCUGAACUCACGCAUACAAUCCCAUGGAACUCCUCGGAACUCCGACAAAGGACGCCAGAGACAGCCGCCGAAGAGAGAUCUGAGCCCGACUCCAGAGGCACUUGUUCUAGGUACCACACACGGAGCAGCUGGAGCAGCCCUUUAAUCGGGAUGUACCCUGUGUGAUCAUUUGUCUUUGGGCUGGACAUCAGCAACGCGUAAAGCACUAUCAUGCCUCCUGUGGAUUUUGUGGCCAAAGCCACGCAUAUAUUUAUGAAGUACUUUUCCUACUAAGGUCGGCGUGUGUGAGAGUGUGUGUGCGUGUGUGUGGUUUUUGUUCACUGAAACCCGCCCCGUGUGUGCGAGAGUCACCAACAACGUGCACAGUCUCUCUACUUUGUGCGUCCAGAAAUGAGCCUCCACAGUGGGGCUGUCACACAGAAGACCAUCAGGGAGGCGGUGCUUUGUCAGUAGAGGUCACCUGGUGCGUGCGUGACCUACAGGUGAUGCUACGGGUGUGUGUACACGGCCGGCUGAUGUGCUGGUUGGUGGCAUAAGAAAGGAUGAUCAGAUAUUUCAAACUAACUCUAACACACUCUGACCACAAUUAAUACGUAUGCUGGCCUUUGUUUACGAUGAGUCACAGAAACGAUCAGGGCAAGUCCUCGUCACCUCACCACUCCAGAAAUGCCAACGGACUUCAUAAGAUUUUGGCCUUGAACACUGGCUUACCGACUGAACUGCUGUCUUUUCUCAAUGCUGAGAAACACGCCACAUCCUCUCUGAGGGUUGUCUGCACACGGACGGUGGGGUAGACACAGUAAGCCAACUCGGAAGCCAGUGGCGUGCCUACGGCCUCCACCCGUCGCCACACGACUCGCUCCCGGCGCCUGACGAGCCCUAUCAUUACACAAGGGGGCUUCGUGCACGCUCACCUUGUGCAAGAUACCGGGGAUGACGCUGUAUGAGGACAGACAUGAAGGGGAGUCUCAGAGACGUCACCCACACAGCCAGGAAGAUGCUCUGCAAGGACCCCAAAGGGGCGGACUCCGGGCGUGAUCAAUGAGCUCAUCUGUAUUCUUCCAAAAUGUAUCUUCGUUCCUAGUGUGCACGUGAAAAGCACACUGAAUUAAACUAAAGUUGCAAACCCAGAGUUCAAUGCCAAGAGGCUACGAGUAGCAGAUGUUGGCUGAGCUUCUGAGAAAGAAGCUCCCUCUAAAGACGGGCAAGUGCGAACAUUUCCACACUUCCUGUCCAGGCGAGGCUCGCAGCCGCAGGGAAGGAUCCGAUCAAGGCUGCCCUCCGCCCCACAGGGUCCUCUCAGCUCUGUGGGCCCCGGGCCUGACUGUCAGCAGUCCCGCCGACGCACGGCUCUGAGUUCAAGGACACCUUACUCCUCUUUGGUCACAUUUUACAAAAACAGAAGCACAUUCUAAAUACUCGGUUCUUUGGCAAAGUGUGUAAAGGCCAGAAGAACACAAAGGAUGAAGACAGGGGAGAUGAGCGGAUCGACCUGAGAGGGGCUGACACCUGUGUCCUGUCAGGGGCCACAGUGGCCCCACGUGGGACAAAGGGCCUGGGCUAAGAGCUCUUGCCUUUUAUUGCAAUCCCCAGAGGACGGGCUGAACCAUGUCAUUAGCGUAAGAUACUCACACUUUUACUAUUUCGUUUGGGAAAUGACCCAGGGGGAGUCUGGCUCCACAGUGUCUCCAUCAAAUUUCUCCACAAACUUGUCUUCAUAGGUAACAACGUCAGGCACCCAGGGGCUCAGUCAGUUAAACGUCUGACUCCUGCUCAGGUCAUGAUCUCACAGUCGGCAAGUUCCAGC
Felis catus (domestic cat) is the source of this 4794-nucleotide long non-coding RNA. RefSeq lists it as uncharacterized. NCBI's taxonomy places the organism in Eukaryota, Metazoa, Chordata, Mammalia, Carnivora, Felidae. The record is from RefSeq and is a predicted model, not a curated record. The transcript has 4 exons.